Molecule: long non-coding RNA, 793 nt
Filed under: Physcomitrium patens
Lineage: Eukaryota; Viridiplantae; Streptophyta; Bryopsida; Funariales; Funariaceae
Description: long non-coding RNA (PPAT_LNC003653)
Source: RNAcentral
GAGGAAAUAGUAACUUUGUAGAGUUUUGUUAAGUAGUUUUUAGAUAGGUAAUAAUUGUGUGUUUGCGAGGACGCUGCAUAGAUAGGAAUAAGGCUAUGUAGAAUAGAUAUUAAUUUGUUUCUGUAAGAUAUUGAUAAAAUAGACUAAUAGUCAGUAGAAUAGUCAAUUCAAGAGGACGGAUGGUUAAUUUAGUUAUUAAAAGUAGUUAAUUAUAGGAUUACGAUUAGAAUCUCAGAAUAAAGAGAAAGGAUAUAGGAGUUGUAGAAUUUAGUCUGAGUGCCAGACUGUGAUAGUCAUGAGUUGGGAUAAGCUUGGUGCUACCUGUUUGUUUCUUUAUUUCUUUGUUUCUUUGUUGUUGAAAAAUAAUGGAUAGUUUCUGAAUACUAAGUAGUGAGUGUGUAGAAUAAAUCAGAGAUUGAUUUAUGAGUUAUUGAUUAUGUAAUUAAAACACUGAGUUAUUGAAUUAUAUGAGGAAUUAUUGGAAGAUUAUGAUUAUUGUUUAUUGAGAGUAGUGUGAAUUUUGAUAGAUGAAGUCUGUGAUUACAGAAAUUAUGUGAAUUCAAAUUGAUUGGAAUGAAGUCUGUUAUUUCUGAUGUUAGAUGAAAUUAUUGUGUUUUGAGCAGUCUUUUGAAAGUACUGGGUUAUAUACUGUUGUUAUCAAUUGAUGAAGGAAUAUUUUUACUGGGAGAAAGUAUUGUAGUAUUUUUUGGUGUUUUAGUGGUUUGAAAUAUAAUUAAUUGUAUGAUCCAAACAAGUAAAACUCAUGCAAUUAGUCUUUCCUCGUGUUCAAAUC